This 386-nucleotide ribosomal RNA is filed under the name Macaca mulatta (Rhesus monkey). RNAcentral describes it as "12S ribosomal RNA". It matches the Rfam family "Bacterial small subunit ribosomal RNA", at positions 794 to 1383 of the family's 1533-position model. Lineage: Eukaryota; Metazoa; Chordata; Mammalia; Primates; Cercopithecidae. The record is from RNAcentral.
GCUUGGCCCUAAACCUCAGUAGUUAGAUAACAAAACUACUCGCCAGAAUACUACGAGCUACAGCUUAAAACUCAAAGGACUUGACGGUGCUUUACACCCCCUAGAGGAGCCUGUUCCGUAAUCGAUAAACCCCGAUCCACCCCACCCUCUCUUGCUCAGCCUAUAUACCGCCAUCUUCAGCAAACCCUAAUGAAGGUCACAAAGUGAGCGCAAACGCCGUCCCGCGAGUACGUUAGGUCAAGGUGUAGCCUAUGAGACGGUAAAAAAUGGGCUACAUUUUCUACCUCAGAAAAUCCACGAAAACCCUUAUGAAAUUUAAGGGCCCAAGGAGGAUUUAGCAGUAAAUUAAGAAUAGAGUGCUUAAUUGAACCAGGCCAUAAAGCGCG